Ceratotherium simum simum (southern white rhinoceros) is the source of this 183-nucleotide non-coding RNA. Lineage: Eukaryota; Metazoa; Chordata; Mammalia; Perissodactyla; Rhinocerotidae. The record is from RefSeq and is a predicted model, not a curated record.
UGUUGGUCACUAUAUCCCCCCAGCCACAAGGAGAUCAAUCUAUUUCAGGACAUCUUUUGCCUGGUUUAUUUAGUGCAGCUGCAACGUUGGUCCCCCUGCCUUCAGUUGAUGUCCCCCUCAGUAUUCUCACUACUGACAGGUUGAGCAAACAGCUUUCUAAAACAUGUUAUGGCAGCUCCCCAC